Molecule: ribosomal RNA, 678 nt
Filed under: uncultured marine eukaryote
Lineage: Eukaryota
Description: bacterial SSU rRNA
Rfam family: Eukaryotic small subunit ribosomal RNA
Source: RNAcentral
AACCUGGUUGAUCCUGCCAGUAGUCAUAUGCUUGUCUCAAAGACUAAGCCAUGCAUGUCUAAGUAUAAAUGGUAUACAGUAAAACUGCGAAUGGCUCAUUAAAACAGUUAUAGUUUAUUUGGUAAUCGAAUUUACAUGGAUAACCGUGGUAAUUCUAGAGCUAAUACAUGCCGUAAAGCCCGACUUCUCGGAAGGGCCGUGUUUAUUAGAUAACAGACCAACAGCUUCGGCUAUUGUGGUGAAUCAUAGUAACUAAUCGGAUCGCAUGGGCUAGUCCCGCGACAAACCAUUCAAGUUUCUGCCCCAUCAGCUUUCGACGGUAGUGUAUUGGACUACCGUGGCUUUUACGGGUAACGGAGGAUUAGGGUUCGAUUCCGGAGAGGGAGCCUGAGAAACGGCUACCACAUCUAAGGAAGGCAGCAGGCGCGUAAAUUACCCAAUCCUGACUCAGGGAGGUAGUGACAAGAAAUAACGGACCGAGGCCUUCGGGCUUCGGGAUUGCAAUGAGCCGAAUUUACACCCCUUAGCGAAGAUCGAUUGGAGGGCAAGUCCGGUGCCAGCAGCCGCGGUAAUUCCAGCUCCAAUAGCGUAUAUUAUGUUGUUGCAGUUAAAAAGCUCGUAGUUGGAUUUCUGGGAAAGUGCAUAUGUCGCUAACGUGAGUGCAUCUGCGCUUCUCAU